UAGGGAAUCUUCCGCAAUGGGCGAAAGCCUGACGGAGCAACGCCGCGUGAGUGAUGAAGGUCUUCGGAUCGUAAAACUCUGUUAUUAGGGAAGAACAAAUGUGUAAGUAACUAUGCACGUCUUGACGGUACCUAAUCAGAAAGCCACGGCUAACUACGUGCCAGCAGCCGCGGUAAUACGUAGGUGGCAAGCGUUAUCCGGAAUUAUUGGGCGUAAAGCGCGCGUAGGCGGUUUUUUAAGUCUGAUGUGAAAGCCCACGGCUCAACCGUGGAGGGUCAUUGGAAACUGGAAAACUUGAGUGCAGAAGAGGAAAGUGGAAUUCCAUGUGUAGCAGUGAAAUGCGCAGAGAUAUGGGGGAACACCAGGGGCGAAGGCGACUUUCUGGUCUGUAACUGACGCUGAUGUGCGAAAGCGUGGGGAUCAAACAGG
RNAcentral lists this ribosomal RNA (429 nucleotides) under Actinomycetes bacterium. RNAcentral's name for it is "Actinobacteria bacterium partial 16S ribosomal RNA". It matches the Rfam family "Bacterial small subunit ribosomal RNA", at positions 355 to 776 of the family's 1533-position model. Lineage: Bacteria; Bacillati; Actinomycetota; Actinomycetes. The record is from RNAcentral.